This is a long non-coding RNA of Sinocyclocheilus anshuiensis, 316 nucleotides long. RefSeq lists it as uncharacterized. NCBI's taxonomy places the organism in Eukaryota, Metazoa, Chordata, Actinopteri, Cypriniformes, Cyprinidae. The transcript is spliced from 4 exons. The record is from RefSeq and is a predicted model, not a curated record.
ACAUGAAUGUCUUUAUGUGGAAUAUGUGAAGCUGCUCAGAAGUUAUUCAGCACACAUCAGCUCUGAGAUCUUCAAGCUCCACAGAACUUCUACAGAUUCUUUCUGUCAUUGUGAAGAAACAUCUUGAUGUGUGUGCUGUUCCUGGUGAUCUUCUGCUCCAAGCAGUGCACUUCAUAUGCUGCUCAUGCAGCUCCUGUGUGGUGUUGCUUUGAUUUUAUUGACUUUCAAAUUCCAUCCAAAAGAAUUGUCAGUGCUGUGGAGACAGAUUCACGUUGCCCUAACGCUGCCAUUGUGGUUUGACACUUAGAAACCCAAG